RNAcentral lists this non-coding RNA (148 nucleotides) under Nomascus leucogenys (northern white-cheeked gibbon). The record is from Rfam by way of RNAcentral. Lineage: Eukaryota; Metazoa; Chordata; Mammalia; Primates; Hylobatidae.
GCUGGGCAUGGUGGCACAUGCCUGUAAUCCCAGCUACUCAGGAGGCUGAGGCAGGAGAAUUGCUUGAGCCCGGGAGACGGAGGUUGCAGUGAGCCAAGAUCGUGCCACUGCACUCCAACCUGGCCAACAGAGCAAGACUCUGUCUCAC